Zea mays is the source of this 91-nucleotide non-coding RNA. Lineage: Eukaryota; Viridiplantae; Streptophyta; Magnoliopsida; Poales; Poaceae. The record is from RefSeq and is marked provisional.
AGUGCGGCUCUCCUCUGGCAUGAGGGCGCGACUGAGAGGCACGAACAGUUUCUGGCCUUCUCCUGCCAAUGCCAAAGGAGAGUUGCCCUGC